CCAACAGGGAUUGCCUCAGUAACGGCGAGUGAAGCGGCAACAGCUCAAAUUUGAAAUCUGGCCUUUCGGGUCCGAGUUGUAAUUUGCAGAGGAUGCUUCCGGCGCGGCGCCUUCCAAGUCCCCUGGAACGGGGCGCCAUAGAGGGUGAGAGCCCCGUCGGGUCGGCCGCCAAGCCUAUGUGAAGCUCCUUCGACGAGUCGAGUAGUUUGGGAAUGCUGCUCUAAAUGGGAGGUAGACCCCUUCUAAAGCUAAAUACCGGCCAGAGACCGAUAGCGCACAAGUAGAGUGAUCGAAAGAUGAAAAGCACUUUGAAAAGAGGGUUAAACAGUACGUGAAAUUGUUGAAAGGGAAGCGCUUGUGACCAGACGCGCGCCGGGGUGCUCAGCAGGCGUUCUCGCCUGUGCACUCGCCCCGGCGCGGGCCAGCGUCGGUUCGGAUGGGGGGAUAAAGGCGUCGGGCACGUAGCUCCUCCGGGAGUGUUAUAGCCCGGCGUGCCAUGCCCCCGCCCGGACCGAGGUUCGCGCUCCGCAAGGACGCUGGCGUAAUGGUCCCCAGCGGCCCGUCUUGAAACACGGACCAAGGAGUCGAGGUUUUACGCGAGUGUCUGGGUGUCAAACCCGCACGCGUAAUGAAAGUGAACGCAGGUGGGAGCUUCGGCGCACCACCGACCGAUCCUGAUGUUCUCGGAUGGAUUUGAGUAGGAGCGUAGGGCCUCGGACCCGAAAGAUGGUGAACUAUACGUGGAUAGGGUGAAGCCAGAGGAAACUCUGGUGGAGGCUCGCAGCGGUUCUGACGUGCAAAUCGAUCGUCAAAUCUGCGUAUGGGGGGCGAAAGACUAAUCGAAACCAU
This 849-nucleotide ribosomal RNA is filed under the name Rattania intermedia. RNAcentral's name for it is "partial large subunit ribosomal RNA". It matches the Rfam family "Eukaryotic large subunit ribosomal RNA", at positions 65 to 943 of the family's 3401-position model. Lineage: Eukaryota; Fungi; Ascomycota; Sordariomycetes; Chaetosphaeriales; Chaetosphaeriaceae. The record is from RNAcentral.